GAUGAACGCUGGCGGCGUGCUUAACACAUGCAAGUCGAACGGUGAAGCCAAGCUUGCUUGGUGGAUCAGUGGCGAACGGGUGAGUAACACGUGAGCAACCUGCCCUGGACUCUGGGAUAAGCGCUGGAAACGGCGUCUAAUACUGGAUAUGAGCUCUCAUCGCAUGGUGGGGGUUGGAAAGAUUUUUCGGUCUGGGAUGGGCUCGCGGCCUAUCAGCUUGUUGGUGAGGUAAUGGCUCACCAAGGCGUCGACGGGUAGCCGGCCUGAGAGGGUGACCGGCCACACUGGGACUGAGACACGGCCCAG
Molecule: ribosomal RNA, 306 nt
Filed under: uncultured bacterium
Lineage: Bacteria
Description: bacterial SSU rRNA
Rfam family: Bacterial small subunit ribosomal RNA
Source: RNAcentral